AUCAUCAACUUCCACUACAAAGAGGAAGAAAAUUAGACUUCUACCAAGAUUGUUUUCAGAAAAGCCUUCAAAUAAUCACUGAAUACUCUAAAAUCCAAUCCCAAGAUCCUUUUGAAGAGUCCUAAAUUCCAGAUGUAGUAUGUACCAUUCCAUCAUUCUGAAGUCUAUUAGAUAUAGUUCUACAGAAGUCAUUGCCAGUUGCUGAUAUCUGCAUUCAUGAUCUGGCCAAGCUCUAAGAAAAAUAUCUGGAAUUGUUGGGGGUGUCCAUCACUCAACUGAUCUUUUUUGUUAAGGGACAUAUAUGGGAACUAUAUGGGAUUUAGACAUUUUAAAUGUUUUGAUUUAAUAGAGUAGGUUUACAGUUG
Molecule: long non-coding RNA, 365 nt
Organism: Gopherus flavomarginatus (Mexican gopher tortoise)
Lineage: Eukaryota; Metazoa; Chordata; Testudines; Testudinidae
Exons: 2
Source: RefSeq, a predicted model, not a curated record